UCCGGUAUAGUGUAACGGUUAACAUAUCGCGUUUUCACCGCGAAGCUCGGGGUUCGAUUCCCCGUACCGGAG
Chaetomium globosum CBS 148.51 is the source of this 72-nucleotide transfer RNA. It matches the Rfam family "tRNA". From Rfam's summary of the family: Transfer RNA (tRNA) molecules are approximately 80 nucleotides in length. Their secondary structure includes four short double-helical elements and three loops (D, anti-codon, and T loops). The record is from Rfam. Lineage: Eukaryota; Fungi; Ascomycota; Sordariomycetes; Sordariales; Chaetomiaceae.